Ochotona curzoniae (black-lipped pika) is the source of this 633-nucleotide long non-coding RNA. RefSeq lists it as uncharacterized. The transcript is spliced from 4 exons. NCBI's taxonomy places the organism in Eukaryota, Metazoa, Chordata, Mammalia, Lagomorpha, Ochotonidae. The record is from RefSeq and is a predicted model, not a curated record.
UCUGGAAGAGGCGUUGUCGUCUGGAGACGUUGUGGUGGAGACGUGACUCCUGCUGAAAGGCCAAUGUUUUGUUUGGGAGCUGAGCAUGGGCAGGCGGCAGCUAACUGGACGGCGAAGCGACGAGCUGAGCAUUCACAAGUCUUUGAAGUCCUGUUGCAGCAUUUUGUAGAAUGCUCUUCAGCUGGGGGCUGGUCUCGCGUUCUUCACAUGACUGGACUUGGAUUAUUGAUAUUUGGGAGGAAACCACAAAGAGACCUCUGUUUUCCCAACCCCUCUCCUGAAGCUCUCGGAUCCUCACAAUGCUGUUUCACCACCGAAGAGGACCUGAGCUCACCUCACCUCCACCUCAUGUCUUGCAAAUCUGAGAGCUUUUGGUCUCCACUGCUUUGACUAUGCUGCCUCACAGCAGGAAGAGCGAGAACACGUGGAUGACAGUCUCGUGUGCAAGAUGCGUGGGCCGAAUGCCUGCCACAGCCAUCUCUCUUUCUGCGUUUUGUUAUAAUUUACUCCUCUUUUCUGGUUUAAGAUGCUAGACAAAGUGUGAUUACAAGUGACUCUGUCAUAAUGGAGAAGUAAAGGUGUGUGCACCAUAGAGCUUUGCCGUUUUAUUCCUCUUGUUAACUAGAAUAUUAA